Molecule: ribosomal RNA, 397 nt
Filed under: uncultured bacterium
Lineage: Bacteria
Description: partial 16S ribosomal RNA
Rfam family: Bacterial small subunit ribosomal RNA
Source: RNAcentral
AUACGUAGGUGGCAAGCGUUGUCCGGAUUUACUGGGUGUAAAGGGCGUGCAGCCGGGGAAGCAAGUCAGGUGUGAAAUGCAGAGGCUUAACCUCUGAAUUGCAUUUGAAACUGUUUUUCUUGAGUACUGGAGGGGCAAUCGGAAUUCCUAGUGUAGCGGUGAAAUGCGUAGAUAUUAGGAGGAACACCAGUGGCGAAGGCGACUUACUGGGCCGUAACUGACGCUGAGGCGCGAAAGCGUGGGGAGCGAACAGGAUUAGAUACCCUGGUAGUCCACGCGGUAAACGAUGAAUGCUAGGUGUUGCGGGUAUCGACCCCUGCAGUGCCGGAGUCAACACAAUAAGCAUUCCGCCUGGGGAGUACGGCCGCAAGGUUGAAACUCAAAUGAAUUGACGGGG